GAUCAUUACCGAGUGCAGGUCUGCCCCCGGGCAGGCCUAACCUCCCACCCGUGAAUACCUGACCAACGUUGCUUCGGCGGUGCGCCCCCCCGGGGGUAGCCGCCGGAGACCACAUUGAACCUCUUGUCUUUAGUGUUGUCUGAGCUUGAUAGCAAACCUAUUAAAACUUUCAACAAUGGAUCUCUUGGUUCCGGCAUCGAUGAAGAACGCAGCGAACUGCGAUAAGUAAUGUGAAUUGCAGAAUUCAGUGAAUCAUCGAGUCUUUGAACGCACAUUGCGCCCCCUGGCAUUCCGGGGGGCAUGCCUGUCCGAGCGUCAUUGCUGCCCUUCAAGCCCGGCUUGUGUGUUGGGUCGUCGUCCCCCCCGGGGGACGGGCCCGAAAGGCAGCGGCGGCACCGCGUCCGGUCCUCGAGCGUAUGGGGCUUUGUCACCCGCUCGAUUAGGGCCGGCCGGGCGCCAGCCGGCGUCUCCAACCUUCUAUUUUACCAGGUUGACCUCGGAUCAGGUAGGGAUACCCGCUGAACUUAAGCAUAUCAAUAAAGCGGAGG
Molecule: unclassified non-coding RNA, 548 nt
Filed under: Aspergillus insuetus
Lineage: Eukaryota; Fungi; Ascomycota; Eurotiomycetes; Eurotiales; Aspergillaceae
Description: sequence contains 18S rRNA gene, ITS1, 5.8S rRNA gene, ITS2, 28S rRNA gene
Rfam family: 5.8S ribosomal RNA (bases 165-318)
Source: RNAcentral